Molecule: long non-coding RNA, 691 nt
Organism: Morone saxatilis (striped sea-bass)
Lineage: Eukaryota; Metazoa; Chordata; Actinopteri; Moronidae
Exons: 3
Source: RefSeq, a predicted model, not a curated record
CGUGAAACUUUCAGCUGCCCACCCAUCCAACCCACUUAUUGGUCCGCAGGACUUUUUUUGGACAGCUGAGCCUAAAACAACAGGAAGAAAGAAUCUUAAGCGAUUGGUCGGAUCAAAGGGACAAGGCGGAGACAAAGCCAAUGGAGCUGCCCCCUGCUGGAUAUCACAUAGAAUGCAGGUUUAAAACACUUCACAGACCUGGAAGACUCCGUGGGCGAUGGGACACCUGCGAUGGAUCACAACUAUUUACAUAUCACAGCUCCCUUGAAACUGUUCCUUGCCUGCCGAAAAUAAAUACCUCCAAGCUACAAGAGUGAGUGAUGGAAAAUGGAUAUCAGGUCAUGAUAUAAACACAUAUAUAUUGGGGCAUGGGAGUGGGGAGGGGCAGGCCACGUUCACAAUGCUUCGUUUUGUAUAGGACGGCCCCCCGGAGGCUGACUGUGACUGGAAAAAUGGGAAAGAACACCGGACCCUGUCUGUUUGAACUGCAUGCUCAAAUGAGGACUUAGCAUAAAUAUUUCCACCAAGAGAAAUGGGAGAAUGUUAUCACAUGUGGAGCUUAUAUAUACACACAUAUGGCACACACACACAUGCUUGAAAAUUCAAUACACAAUACAAUGUGGCAUGCAUUUACACAGACACACAGGAUCCACUGUAUAAACAAGUCGAUUAAAGGACGUUAGGUACUGUA